Molecule: transfer RNA, 76 nt
Filed under: Actinomycetes bacterium
Lineage: Bacteria; Bacillati; Actinomycetota; Actinomycetes
Also listed under: 1 other name
Description: tRNA-Ala
Rfam family: tRNA
About the family: Transfer RNA (tRNA) molecules are approximately 80 nucleotides in length. Their secondary structure includes four short double-helical elements and three loops (D, anti-codon, and T loops). Further hydrogen bonds mediate the characteristic L-shaped molecular structure. tRNAs have two regions of fundamental functional importance: the anti-codon, which is responsible for specific mRNA codon recognition, and the 3' end, to which the tRNAs corresponding amino acid is attached (by aminoacyl-tRNA synthetases). tRNAs cope with the degeneracy of the genetic code in two manners: having more than one tRNA (with a specific anti-codon) for a particular amino acid; and 'wobble' base-pairing, i.e. permitting non-standard base-pairing at the 3rd anti-codon position.
Source: RNAcentral
GGGGCUAUAGCUCAGUUGGUAGAGCACUUCCAUGGCAUGGAAGGGGUCAGGAGUUCAAUUCUCCUUAGCUCCACCA